RNAcentral lists this ribosomal RNA (217 nucleotides) under Strombidinopsis acuminata. RNAcentral describes it as "partial Eukaryotic large subunit ribosomal RNA". It matches the Rfam family "Eukaryotic large subunit ribosomal RNA", at positions 2843 to 3059 of the family's 3401-position model. Lineage: Eukaryota; Ciliophora; Spirotrichea; Choreotrichida; Strombidinopsidae. The record is from RNAcentral.
GCCAAGCGUUCAUAGCGACGUAGCUUUUUGAUCCUUCGAUGUCGGCUCUUCCUAUCACUGCCUCGCAGCGGGGGCCAAAUGUAGGAUUGUUCACCCACCAACAGGGAACGUGAGCUGGGUUUAGACCGUCGUGAGACAGGUUAGUUUUACCCUACUGAUGAAGUGAUGUUGCGACAGUAAUCGAACUUAGUACGAGAGGAACAGUUCGUUCAGAUAA